Molecule: ribosomal RNA, 2926 nt
Filed under: Staphylococcus epidermidis
Lineage: Bacteria; Bacillati; Bacillota; Bacilli; Caryophanales; Staphylococcaceae
Description: bacterial LSU rRNA
Rfam family: Bacterial large subunit ribosomal RNA
Source: RNAcentral
AGAUUAAGUUAUUAAGGGCGCACGGUGGAUGCCUUGGCACUAGAAGCCGAUGAAGGACGUUACUAACGACGAUAUGCUUUGGGUAGCUGUAAGUAAGUGUUGAUCCAGAGAUUUCCGAAUGGGGGAACCCAGCAUGAGUUAUGUCAUGUUAUCGACAUGUGAAUUCAUAGCAUGUCAGAAGGCAAACCCGGAGAACUGAAACAUCUUAGUACCCGGAGGAAGAGAAAGAAAAAUCGAUUCCCUGAGUAGCGGCGAGCGAAACGGGAAGAGCCCAAACCAACAAGCUUGCUUGUUGGGGUUGUAGGACACUCUAUACGGAGUUACAAAAGAACAUGUUAGACGAAUCAUCUGGAAAGAUGAAUCAAAGAAGGUAAUAAUCCUGUAGUCGAAAACAUAUUCUCUCUUGAGUGGAUCCUGAGUACGACGGAGCACGUGAAAUUCCGUCGGAAUCUGGGAGGACCAUCUCCUAAGGCUAAAUACUCUCUAGUGACCGAUAGUGAACCAGUACCGUGAGGGAAAGGUGAAAAGUACCCCGGAAGGGGAGUGAAAGAGAACUUGAAACCGUGUGCUUACAAGUAGUCAGAGCCCGUUAAUGGGUGAUGGCGUGCCUUUUGUAGAAUGAACCGGCGAGUUACGAUCUGAUGCAAGGUUAAGCAGCAAAUGUGGAGCCGCAGCGAAAGCGAGUCUGAAUAGGGCGUUGAGUAUUUGGUCGUAGACCCGAAACCAGGUGAUCUACCCUUGGUCAGGUUGAAGUUCAGGUAACACUGAAUGGAGGACCGAACCGACUUACGUUGAAAAGUGAGCGGAUGAACUGAGGGUAGCGGAGAAAUUCCAAUCGAACUUGGAGAUAGCUGGUUCUCUCCGAAAUAGCUUUAGGGCUAGCCUCAAGUGAUGAUUAUUGGAGGUAGAGCACUGUUUGGACGAGGGGCCCCUCUCGGGUUACCGAAUUCAGACAAACUCCGAAUGCCAAUUAAUUUAACUUGGGAGUCAGAACAUGGGUGAUAAGGUCCGUGUUCGAAAGGGAAACAGCCCAGACCACCAGCUAAGGUCCCAAAAUAUAUGUUAAGUGGAAAAGGAUGUGGCGUUGCCCAGACAACUAGGAUGUUGGCUUAGAAGCAGCCAUCAUUUAAAGAGUGCGUAAUAGCUCACUAGUCGAGUGACACUGCGCCGAAAAUGUACCGGGGCUAAACAUAUUACCGAAGCUGUGGAUUGUCCUUUGGACAAUGGUAGGAGAGCGUUCUAAGGGCGUCGAAGCAUGAUCGCAAGGACAUGUGGAGCGCUUAGAAGUGAGAAUGCCGGUGUGAGUAGCGAAAGACGGGUGAGAAUCCCGUCCACCGAUUGACUAAGGUUUCCAGAGGAAGGCUCGUCCGCUCUGGGUUAGUCGGGUCCUAAGCUGAGGCCGACAGGCGUAGGCGAUGGAUAACAGGUUGAUAUUCCUGUACCACCUAGUAUCGUUUUAAUCGAUGGGGGGACGCAGUAGGAUAGGCGAAGCGUGCUGUUGGAGUGCACGUCCAAGCAGUAAGGCUGAGUGUUAGGCAAAUCCGGCACUCAUAAGGCUGAGCUGUGAUGGGGAGAGGAAAUUGUUUCCUCGAGUCGUUGAUUUCACACUGCCGAGAAAAGCCUCUAGAUAGAUAACAGGUGCCCGUACCGCAAACCGACACAGGUAGUCAAGAUGAGAAUUCUAAGGUGAGCGAGCGAACUCUCGUUAAGGAACUCGGCAAAAUGACCCCGUAACUUCGGGAGAAGGGGUGCUCUUUAGGGUUCACGCCCAGAAGAGCCGCAGUGAAUAGGCCCAAGCGACUGUUUAUCAAAAACACAGGUCUCUGCUAAACCGUAAGGUGAUGUAUAGGGGCUGACGCCUGCCCGGUGCUGGAAGGUUAAGAGGAGUGGUUAGCUUCUGCGAAGCUACGAAUCGAAGCCCCAGUAAACGGCGGCCGUAACUAUAACGGUCCUAAGGUAGCGAAAUUCCUUGUCGGGUAAGUUCCGACCCGCACGAAAGGCGUAACGAUUUGGGCACUGUCUCAACGAGAGACUCGGUGAAAUCAUAGUACCUGUGAAGAUGCAGGUUACCCGCGACAGGACGGAAAGACCCCGUGGAGCUUUACUGUAGCCUGAUAUUGAAAUUCGGCACAGCUUGUACAGGAUAGGUAGGAGCCUUUGAAACGUGAGCGCUAGCUUACGUGGAGGCGUUGGUGGGAUACUACCCUAGCUGUGUUGGCUUUCUAACCCGCACCACUUAUCGUGGUGGGAGACAGUGUCAGGCGGGCAGUUUGACUGGGGCGGUCGCCUCCUAAAAGGUAACGGAGGCGCUCAAAGGUUCCCUCAGAAUGGUUGGAAAUCAUUCAUAGAGUGUAAAGGCAUAAGGGAGCUUGACUGCGAGACCUACAAGUCGAGCAGGGUCGAAAGACGGACUUAGUGAUCCGGUGGUUCCGCAUGGAAGGGCCAUCGCUCAACGGAUAAAAGCUACCCCGGGGAUAACAGGCUUAUCUCCCCCAAGAGUUCACAUCGACGGGGAGGUUUGGCACCUCGAUGUCGGCUCAUCGCAUCCUGGGGCUGUAGUCGGUCCCAAGGGUUGGGCUGUUCGCCCAUUAAAGCGGUACGCGAGCUGGGUUCAGAACGUCGUGAGACAGUUCGGUCCCUAUCCGUCGUGGGCGUAGGAAAUUUGAGAGGAGCUGUCCUUAGUACGAGAGGACCGGGAUGGACAUACCUCUGGUGUACCAGUUGUCGUGCCAACGGCAUAGCUGGGUAGCUAUGUAUGGACGGGAUAAGUGCUGAAAGCAUCUAAGCAUGAAGCCCCCCUCAAGAUGAGAUUUCCCAACUUCUGUUAUAAGAUCCCUCGAAGAUGACGAGGUUAAUAGGUUCGAGGUGGAAGCGUGGUGACACGUGGAGCUGACGAAUACUAAUCGAUCGAAGACUUAAUCAAUUU